This 417-nucleotide ribosomal RNA is filed under the name uncultured bacterium. RNAcentral describes it as "bacterial SSU rRNA". It matches the Rfam family "Bacterial small subunit ribosomal RNA", at positions 362 to 776 of the family's 1533-position model. The record is from RNAcentral.
UAUUGGUCAAUGGGCGAGAGCCUGAACCAGCCAAGUCGCGUGAAGGAUGAAGGAUCUAUGGUUUGUAAACUUCUUUUAUAUGGGAAUAAAGUGAGGAACGUGUUCCUUUUUGUAUGUACCAUAUGAAUACGCAGCGGCUAGCUCCGUGACUGCAGCCGCGGUAAUACGGCGGAUGCGAGCGUUAUCCGGAUUUAUUGGGUUUAAAGGGUGCGUAGGUGGUUAAUUAAGUCAGCGGUGAAAGUUUGUGGCUCAACCAUAAAAUUGCCGUUGAAACUGGUUGACUUGAGUAUAUUUGAGGUAGGCGGAAUGCGUGGUGUAGCGGUGAAAUGCAUAGAUAUCACGCAGAACUCCGAUUGCGAAGGCAGCUUACUAAACUAUAACUGACACCGAAGCACGAAAGCGUGGGGAUCAAACAGG